This is a long non-coding RNA of Ochotona princeps (American pika), 406 nucleotides long. RefSeq lists it as uncharacterized. The record is from RefSeq and is a predicted model, not a curated record. Lineage: Eukaryota; Metazoa; Chordata; Mammalia; Lagomorpha; Ochotonidae. The transcript is spliced from 5 exons.
UCAGAAGCCCUUCUGGAAGGAUUCCUGUGGCUGACCCGGGAGUGGUGGUGAAUUUCUCCAUCAAUUAAAUGGAAAAUGCGGUGGGAAGAUGUGUGCAGGAAGAAAGAACCACAGUGAAGGCUGAAAUCCACGCGUCCGAAUCGGUAGCAGAGACUAAACCUGUUGGUUGGCUGUCCAAGCAAAGAUGAGUGAAUCUGGGGAUUCAUUAACAGAACAGGAGGCUGUGUUCUCCAGUCCAGAGCCUCGACAAAUUGUGAGCAGCAAAUGAAUGUUUCUCACACUGGCCACUGCGCUCCUCAAAGCCUCAUCCAUCAACUACAAUAUCCAGCUCCUCCUUGGUGGACACUUUUGAAUGAGCAAUCAAUGGAAACAGGCAGAGUAGAGUAAGGACCAGUGUUUCUUGAGA